This is a non-coding RNA of Haliotis rubra (blacklip abalone), 79 nucleotides long. The record is from the annotation of a RefSeq genome assembly. Lineage: Eukaryota; Metazoa; Mollusca; Gastropoda; Lepetellida; Haliotidae.
GACGAGGUGGCCGAGUGGUUAAGGCGAUGGACUGCAGAUCCACAAGGUCUCCCGCGGGUUCGAAUCCCAUCCCUCGUCG